This 1102-nucleotide ribosomal RNA is filed under the name Cercophora sulphurella. RNAcentral's name for it is "eukaryotic LSU rRNA". It matches the Rfam family "Eukaryotic large subunit ribosomal RNA", at positions 21 to 1155 of the family's 3401-position model. The record is from RNAcentral. Lineage: Eukaryota; Fungi; Ascomycota; Sordariomycetes; Sordariales; Lasiosphaeriaceae.
AUACCCGCUGAACUUAAGCAUAUCAAUAAGCGGAGGAAAAGAAACCAACAGGGAUUGCCCUAGUAACGGCGAGUGAAGCGGCAACAGCUCAAAUUUGAAAUCUGGCUUCGGCCCGAGUUGUAAUUUGUAGAGGAAGCUUUUGGUGCGGCAUCUACUGAGUCCCCUGGAACGGGGCGCCAUAGAGGGUGAGAGCCCCGUAUAGUAGGACGCCUAGCCUCUGUAAAGCUCCUUCGACGAGUCGAGUAGUUUGGGAAUGCUGCUCUAAAUGGGAGGUAAAUUUCUUCUAAAGCUAAAUAUUGGCCAGAGACCGAUAGCGCACAAGUAGAGUGAUCGAAAGAUGAAAAGCACUUUGAAAAGAGGGUUAAACAGCACGUGAAAUUGUUGAAAGGGAAGCGCUUGUGACCAGACUUGCGCCGGGCGGAUCAUCCGGUGUUCUCACCGGUGCACUCCGCCCGGCUCAGGCCAGCAUCGGUUCUCGUGGGGGGAUAAAGGCUCUGGGAACGUGGCUCCUCCGGGAGUGUUAUAGCCCAGUGUGCAAUGCCCUCGUGGGGACCGAGGUUCGCGCAUCUGCAAGGAUGCUGGCGUAAUGGUCAUCAGCGACCCGUCUUGAAACACGGACCAAGGAGUCAAGGUUUUGCGCGAGUGUUUGGGUGUAAAACCCGCACGCGUAAUGAAAGUGAACGUAGGUGAGAGCUUCGGCGCAUCAUCGACCGAUCCUGAUGUAUUCGGAUGGAUUUGAGUAGGAGCGUUAAGCCUUGGACCCGAAAGAUGGUGAACUAUGCUUGGAUAGGGUGAAGCCAGAGGAAACUCUGGUGGAGGCUCGCAGCGGUUCUGACGUGCAAAUCGAUCGUCAAAUCUGAGCAUGGGGGCGAAAGACUAAUCGAACCAUCUAGUAGCUGGUUACCGCCGAAGUUUCCCUCAGGAUAGCAGUGUUGUUCUUCAGUUUUAUGAGGUAAAGCGAAUGAUUAGGGACUCGGGGGCGCUAUAUAGCCUUCAUCCAUUCUCAAACUUUAAAUAUGUAAGAAGCCCUUGUUACUUAAUUGAACGUGGGCAUUCGAAUGUACCAACACUAGUGGGCCAUUUUUGGUAAGCAGAACUGGCG